RNAcentral lists this long non-coding RNA (1514 nucleotides) under Lynx canadensis (Canada lynx). RNAcentral's name for it is "lncRNA (ENSLCNG00005010512.1)". Lineage: Eukaryota; Metazoa; Chordata; Mammalia; Carnivora; Felidae. The record is from RNAcentral.
CGGGGCUGGGCGCUGGGUCCCCGGCGCGCGUCGAGGCUGCACCUGGAGCGCGCCGGGCCGCGCCGCCGGCGCGUCCUCUUCGUCCUCGUCCUCGUCCUCCGCGUCCGCGUCCCCUGGGGCGCCGGCCUCGCCGUCCUCGUCGCCCCCAGCGCUCGCGCCCUCGCCGUCCUCGUCCUCGUCCUCCUCCCAGGUCGAGUCGCAGUCCGGGUCGUCCAUGCUCGGGCGGCGGCGGGACCCGCGCUCCGGCGGAAGCGAAAGUGAGCGAAGGAGGAAGCGUGGGGGAGGGCCGGGGGCGGGGCCGGGGCGGGAUCGGGGCGGGGCCGGGGGCGGGGCCGCCGGCGCCGUCCGCCCCGAGAAGGCCCCCCACGCUCCGAGCACAGCCCCUCCCGGAGAACGUCACUCCGGAGGGCGCCCGCCCCCUUCCUCGCUGGGAUUGCCCCCAGGGUGUCCCCCCAGGACCCCCCCUACACGAUAUCCCUUCCCUUUGGGAGAAGACACCUCCCCCAGGAUGCCCUCUGGAGUAUACCGGCUCUACAGGUAUGUCCCUGGGGGAUGCUCGUCCCAGAGAAUCACCCCAGAAUGCCCCUGAGGACAACCUCCCCCCAGAGGAAGACGCCUACCUGCUGGAAACCCCCUCCUCCAGAAUAUCCCUCUUCCCAGAGGAUGUUCUCCUGGAGGAAGUCAACCCACCCCCUGGAGGAUGCCCACAGGAGGAUGUCCGUCCACAGGGCUGACCCCAGGAGCAUAACCCCUGGGAGCUGUCCUCCCCAGAAGGGAGGCCUCCCCCCCAGGAUGCUCCCACGCGGGAUGCCCUCCAGGUGUAGGCUGGGGCUGUGGUCUCACGAGAGGCUCCUUUGGAGAGCAGUCUGCUUCCGCGGUCCCCCAGCCUGUGGGCAGAAGUCAUUCUCGGGUGGUGGGACACGGAUCCUCGUGUCCCUUCACAGACGGUUCACAACUGGGCAGUUUGCUUCCAUAAGGCCAGCAGGAGGGUGUCUUUCAGUGUGCCGGGAGUCGUCUGCACCGUCACCGUGGGCCUGGCCUCUGCCCCUUUGCCACAUCCUAUCAGGGGUAAGUGACCUCCCACAGAUUCCCUUAAUCUGUGCCCUCACAUCUGCUGGUGGCCGCGGGAGUUGCAGCAAAGUUGGAGACCCGCCCCUCAACAUGCAACUUGGGAGUGGCCCGCCCAGGUGGCCCCGCGAGGCCCCGGCCAGGACAUCGGGCAGAUGACACCGGGAGGCCCUGCCGCAGGGCCGGGACGACGGACCCUCCCAGACGCUGCCCGAUUUCCGCUCGACAAGGAAGAGUCACCCCGAACCGCACCUCCGGCUGCUUUUGUGCAGUUUGCCUGGGGCUCCGCAGGGCGCGUUAACCCGGGAGCCCAGAUUUCUGCUGCAGAAGAAGUCUUGUGCUGUUUCCUCCCCUCUGCAGCCUGGGGACGCCCGCUGUGGGCUCAGGGCUCUGGACAGCUGGCCGCCCAGGCUGGGGCGGGGCUGAGCGGGGGGGGCAGGACUGGG